GAGUCUCCGCGUCCCGCUCGCUGGGAGAGAGGAGUGGAGUCAACAUAUCAAUGGAGCAAGUCACAGUCGUCGAUGCCAGCUUCUUCUUGAAAUGUAGGAGUUUGAAAUACCUUUAAAACAUCCUUAUCGUGAAUCAGAAUCAGCCAUUAUUGGUUUUUGGGAGUUCAUCAUUUACUUGUAAUAUCCACAAUGUUAAUAUCACAUAGUGGUAUUGUAUGGACAAUACUAUUUACAAGUAAAAUGUUUAGAUCUGGAAAUUUCAUAUUGAAUAUUAGAUGCAGUAAUAAUGAUAUUUUGUUAGUUAACAUUUCUAGGAUACAUAUAUUGGUCAUUAUACAAAUUGGUGAUUUUUACUAGACAUAGUGAAAGAUAGUAUUUGAUAUGUAGAGUGGAUUAAACAGUAGCAUUUUUAAUAAUACAUGCUCUAAAAAUGUAAAAGAUACGGAAAAGAGGGUAGGUUAUUAAAAGAUUCUAAUUCGUUGUCCAGUAAAAUCCUUGGUGAUGAAUUUUUUUUUUUUUUUUUUUGCUUUUGAGAUCUUUGGUUUUGAGUUCAGGCUGCUACCAUGAAAUGGAAU
Molecule: small RNA, 575 nt
Filed under: Pan troglodytes (chimpanzee)
Lineage: Eukaryota; Metazoa; Chordata; Mammalia; Primates; Hominidae
Description: retained intron
Source: RNAcentral